AUUGAACGCUGGCGGCAUGCCUUACACAUGCAAGUCGAACGGUAACGGGCCUUCGGGCGCCGACGAGUGGCGAACGGGUGAGUAAUGCAUCGGAACGUACCUUUCAGUGGGGGAUAACGUAGCGAAAGUUACGCUAAUACCGCAUAUUCUGUGAGCAGGAAAGCAGGGGAUCGCAAGACCUUGCGCUGAUUGAGCGGCCGAUGUCAGAUUAGCUAGUUGGUGAGGUAAAGGCUCACCAAGGCGACGAUCUGUAGCGGGUCUGAGAGGAUGAUCCGCCACACUGGAACUGAGACACGGUCCAGACUCCUACGGGAGGCAGCAGUGGGGAAUUUUGGACAAUGGGGGGCAACCCUGAUCCAGCCAUGCCGCGUGAGUGAAGAAGGCCUUCGGGUUGUAAAGCUCUUUCGGCCGGGAAGAAAUCGUAUGGGCUAAUACCCUGUGCGGAUGACGGUACCGGCAUAAGAAGCACCGGCUAACUACGUG
RNAcentral lists this ribosomal RNA (483 nucleotides) under uncultured bacterium. RNAcentral describes it as "bacterial SSU rRNA". It matches the Rfam family "Bacterial small subunit ribosomal RNA", at positions 30 to 507 of the family's 1533-position model. The record is from RNAcentral.